UACGGAGGGUGCGAGCGUUGUCCGGAAUCAUUGGGCGUAAAGAGCGUGUAGGCGGCCAUACAGGUCAGCUGUGAAAACUCGAGGCUCAACCUCGAGACGUCGGUUGAAACCGUGUGGCUAGAGUCCGGAAGAGGAGAGUGGAAUUCCCGGUGUAGCGGUGAAAUGCGCAGAUAUCGGGAAGAACACCCGUGGCGAAGGCGGCUACUCUCGGGAGCGGUACUGGACGCUGAGGUGCGAAAGCGUGGGGAAG
This 250-nucleotide ribosomal RNA is filed under the name uncultured bacterium. RNAcentral describes it as "partial 16S ribosomal RNA". It matches the Rfam family "Bacterial small subunit ribosomal RNA", at positions 524 to 769 of the family's 1533-position model. The record is from RNAcentral.